CAGCACAAAGCUGUGAAGGUGCUGGUCAGGGGUGGAAUGCAACUGAUGCUGUCACCAGACUCUAAUCCCAAUAUCUCCCAGAUAUUCCACAGAUACCACAUUCUAACCAGAAUAAUCUGCAUCAUCUAAAGGGUUUAUGAUAUGUGGCUGUGGGACUGGACCAAUAUGAGCCCACAGAAGCCUGCAUACUUGGAACCACUUGGUGGGAUCAAUGUCAUUAGGAGACACAACUAUAAAUGCUGUCAUUCAACCCAGCUUGAAUGAAUAACAAAGAACAUGCUCCAGGAGGAUAAAGAACAGAGCAUCUCCUUGGGCUGCACUCACCUUUAUUUUCCUGCCUGCCUUCCUGGAGGGCAGUGAGACGCAGGCCCAGAUCCUUCACACAGGGGAGCGAGAAGAGAGGGAGGAAGAGGCUGCCCAUCAACAUUGCCACCAUGGCAGCCUCCUGCCCCUGAGAAAGUGGAAAUGCCCAGGGAGAAGAAUCCAGAGAAAACACAAAAUGUUGUCUAGAAGCCGCAGCCUAGAUGCUAAAGAAGUGCUGUCUUCAACCCUGUAGAAACUGAUACUCCACCCGCUUGUUCUUUCUGCUUCUAGUCCUGUGACCCCAGGAACCAUCCUCUUUCCCUAGGACUAUCAGCCAGCAUCUCUCCUCUGUCGCCUCCAACCUGCCCUCUUCCCGCUCCACCGAGCACACCUGCAGGCAGGAGUGAGAAUCGUUGCUAUGUGGAGUGGGCAAGUGUCUUGACCACUGUCCUUCCCAUUUACAUCAUGCCUGUCCUAGGGGUAAUAACAAUACUCACCUCACUGGGUGUGCUGAAGGUUAAAUGAGAAAAUGUAUGCAUCCAGCACAGAAAGCAUAAUAUGUUUUCUUUUCUUUUCUCUCUCCUCCUCCUUUUUCAUUCUUUCCACAAUCUUUCCUUCCUUCCCCAAAAGUUACACUUUUCCAAGCUUAAAGCUCCAUCUUGGCAUCAACUGUAACCUGAAUGUAUGCCAUUCACAGCUGAUUUGCCGGGUGCUGUGCCACACAGUUCUGAACCCCAGUGAGGGAUCAAUCCACACCCAGUCCCCAGCUCUACCAGUCUCUGGAGCACUCUGCACUGCUCUCUCCAGCCCUACCUCAUGCACACGAAAGGGGGCUUGGCCAAGUUUAGCAUGUCAUCACUGGCAGCCACACUCUGACCUGCAGUAACUUCUGCACUGGUUGACAUUCACCGCUUUGAACAUAGAAACAAGAGGCUCCCUGUAGCUGCUGCCUUUUGUGGGCUUCGCCAUCGUCCUCCUGAGCAGGCUUCCACAUUAAGGACUCAGAAAUUUCUAACACUUUACAAGAGGGAGGAGUGAACAGCAAGUGGUUUGGAAAUCACAAAUUUGUAGGAGCUCAGCAAGUGCUACUUAGGUCUAAGGGACACAGGGCAGGUUUGGAUUAAGAAAUGACACCAGUUUGGGGCCGGGCGCAGUGGCUCACGCCUGUAAUCCCAGCACUUUGGGAGGCCGAGGCAGGCGGAUCAUGAGGUCAGGAGAUCGAGACCAUCCUGGCUAACAUGGUGAAACCCCAUCUCUACUAAAAAUACAAAAACAAAGUUAGCCAGGCAUGGUGGCAGGCACCUGUAUUCCCAGCUACUCUCAAGACUGAGGCAGGAGAAUGGCAUGAACCGGGGAGGCAGAGGUUGCAGUGAGCCGAGAUCGCACCACUGCGCUCCAGCCUGGGCGACAGAGAAAGACUCC
Molecule: long non-coding RNA, 1725 nt
Filed under: Homo sapiens (human)
Lineage: Eukaryota; Metazoa; Chordata; Mammalia; Primates; Hominidae
Description: HSALNT0293961
Source: RNAcentral